AGAGUUUGAUCCUGGCUCAGAAUCAACGCUGGCGGCGCGCUUAACACAUGCAAGUCGCACGAGAAAGUGGAGCAAUCCAUGAGUAAAGUGGCGUACGGGUGAGUAACACGUGGAUCAUCUACCUCUUAGUGGGGAAUAACCCUGGGAAACCGGGGCUAAUACCGCAUAAGCCUGAGAAGGGAAAGCAGCAAUGCGCUGAGAGAGGAGUCCGCGGCCGAUUAGCUAGUUGGUAGGGUAAAGGCCUACCAAGGCAAUGAUCGGUAGCCGGCCUGAGAGGGCACACGGCCACACUGGCACUGAAACACGGGCCAGACUCCUACGGGAGGCAGCAGUGGGGAAUCUUGCACAAUGGAGGAAACUCUGAUGCAGCGACGCCGCGUGAGCGAUGAAGCCCUUCGGGGUGUAAAGCUCUUUCGACGGGAACGAUAAUGACGGUACCCGGAGAAGAAGCUGCGGCUAACUACGUGCCAGCAGCCGCGGUAAUACGUAGGCAGCAAGCGUUGUUCGGAAUUACUGGGCGUAAAGAGUGUGUAGGCGGUUCUCUAUGUUCGGUGUGAAAUCUCCCGGCUUAACUGGGAGGGUGCGCCGAAAACUGGAGGGCUUGAGUAUGGGAGAGGAAAGCGGAAUUCCUGGUGUAGCGGUGAAAUGCGUAGAUAUCAGGAGGAACACCUGCGGUGUAGACGGCUUUCUGGACCAUCACUGACGCUGAGACACGAAAGCGUGGGUAGCAAACAGGAUUAGAUACCCUAGUAGUCC
Molecule: ribosomal RNA, 756 nt
Filed under: uncultured bacterium
Lineage: Bacteria
Description: bacterial SSU rRNA
Rfam family: Bacterial small subunit ribosomal RNA
Source: RNAcentral